Equus caballus (horse) is the source of this 1547-nucleotide long non-coding RNA. The record is from Ensembl. Lineage: Eukaryota; Metazoa; Chordata; Mammalia; Perissodactyla; Equidae.
CUUCAGUCCAUUAACUAGGUCCUGUCCACAGAUUUCCCAAGACAAUCCAGGGUGACUCCCCCUCUUAACUCAAAGUCUGCUUAUGGCUCUAUUUCAGACUCCCGGGAUGGGCAGCACAGUUCGACAGGAAUGCACCGGAUAAUUAAAGAGAUGAUUUUAUUCAGGCUAUUGCAACAGGGAGGACAUUCAUUAACGCAGAGGAACAUCUCAGAGGGAAGGAAGGAUGGCCUGGGGUUUUUAUGAAGGCAAGGGAGUGGGAAGCAGAGUGGACAAGUCGUCAUUUGUGAAGGGGGGAUGAGAAAACGCUGAGUAUGUGAAGGCAAGGUGGUCCUUUGCCGUCUCUCCACCAUCCAGGCUCUCUGGAAGCAAAUGGCUCAGAUAAACUUCAACAUGGUCAACACGUUACCAAAAAUCUGGCCUCCCCUGUAGCUGAGAGGGGAGGAAAUAAGUGAUGAAACGAGGUCCCCAGUAGGCAGAGAAGGAAGGGUGGGGGGAGCGGACAUACCUCCAGGAGCUCUUUGGGCAAGCUGAAAUUUUACUCCCCAAAUUCAGACAUCUCCCCCUUCUCCCCGUCUAUUCUUUUCUCCCUCUUUCUCUCAAUUGGCAGGUGGGUGAGGAUAUUGUUGACCGAAAUAUCCAGAAAACUGACCACCACCAGAAGAUUCCAGCCACAUCCUUGGGGUUCCUGAAAGAUAUCUUUUGAAGAGAAAGAAAAGUUUAGACGCUUGAAUAGCUACAGUCACAAUGAAAGGUUAUAAUUUUCUUUGGCAGUAAGAAUAGCCUUUUUCCUAACGUCUUCUUUGAUAAAGACAAGUCUGCUUCCAGCACCCCUCAUUUCAACCAAUCCAGCCAGAUGGGUGCAUUUUUUGUUUGUUUGUUGUUGUUGUUGUUGUUGUUUUUGAGGAAGAUUAGCCCUGAGCUAACUACUGCCAAUCCUCCUCUUUUCGCUGAGGAAGACUGGCCCUGAACUAACAUCAUGCCCACCUUCCUCUACUUUAUAGGUGGGACGCCUACCACAGCAUGACUUUUGCCAAGCGGUGCCAUGUCCGCACCCGGGAUCCGAACCAGCAAACCCCGGGCCUCCGAGAAGCGGAAUGUGCGAACUUAACCACUGUGCCACCGGGCCGGCCCCCAGAUGUAACAAGAAGAAACUCUAUGUUCUGUUUUGCAGAAACUGAUGUUCCCGGUUUGCAGAUGUUGCUACCUUGCAGAGAAAUUAACACACUUGCCCCAAGACCCCUGCAAAUUGUUCCAGCUCCAAGCGUCCUAAAGCUACCUUAAGCUCAUUAGCAUCUUAAAUUCUCCUCCUCUGGGAGGGUCCCAGCCCCCAUUUCCAGAUCAGGGGGUGUACACAGUGGCAUGUUUACCUGCUACACAUGUGCCCUGAAAGAGCACAGUUGUUACAUGGCUGUUACAAAUAGACCUGUUUCCUCUGCUCUCUUGUGGAUGAAGUCUCCAGGGGCACUGAGCCCGGAGAGACACUGCGUUGGGUAACAUCCCAGGUGUUCUCCAUUGCUUGUGCAGGCAAUAAAGCUUUUCUUCACCCA